AUGUCUCCAGGCUUAAUGACAGUAAUAUUCUUAAUAGUUGGAAGGACUUGUGGAAUAUCGGUGACCCAGAAGGAAAACCGCAUAUCUGUGUUGGAAGGGGCUUCCAUGACCAUAGACUGCACUUAUACAGCAACAGGGUAUACUUAUCUCUUCUGGUAUGUCCAGUAUCCUGGAGAUGGUCUCCAGCUUCUCCUGAAAGCCAUCACAGCCAAUGAGAAGGGAAGCUAUAAAGGAUUUGAAGCCAGAUAUGACAGAGAAAACACCUCCUUCCACUUGAAGAAAGCUGCAGUCCUAGAGUCAGACUCGGCUGUGAACUACUGUGCUGUAAGUGACACAGUGGCAGAAACCAUAGGGAGAGCUGAGCACGAGCAGGGACAGCAGAGGUCUGGCAGCUGA
Molecule: non-coding RNA, 396 nt
Organism: Dipodomys spectabilis (banner-tailed kangaroo rat)
Lineage: Eukaryota; Metazoa; Chordata; Mammalia; Rodentia; Heteromyidae
Source: the annotation of a RefSeq genome assembly